Hevea brasiliensis (rubber tree) is the source of this 880-nucleotide long non-coding RNA. RefSeq lists it as uncharacterized. Lineage: Eukaryota; Viridiplantae; Streptophyta; Magnoliopsida; Malpighiales; Euphorbiaceae. The record is from RefSeq and is a predicted model, not a curated record. The transcript has 3 exons.
GGGAGAGUUGAGUUACAAUUCUACAACCCGACUUGGCCAGAGUUUCACUCUUCUAGCACUAACAAUUUUGAUCACCUUGCAGUCCUAAGACAAGAUGAAAGAGCCCUUCCUCGCCACCAUCCAUCAUCGGAAUUGAGGAGAAGGAAAAUCUCUCUCCUCCGUAAAUUUUUGAUCAGCUUCCAACCAAUUCAGUCGUUGCCCAAAUGAUUCGAAACCAUCGAUGGACUCCUCUUGACGCAAGCUUUGAUUUUAUACUAACCAUGCCUCGAUCAAACACAGAACAAAAAAGUUGCUCAUCAGAUGGCCGAGAUCGAUCAGUACCUUUAAAUAGGUGAUAGGCUUCCAGUAAUGGGACCGUAUUUAGGAUAGAUCGAAGCUCCCUGUGGGUUGUCCUAAAAGGGAGGUUUGGUUCUAGGUACAGAGGAGAUCUAUACUUUCUAGAAGUAUUUAGCGUGGCUCACAACAACUUAUUAGGCAGAAUUCCAGACAUGAAAGGACAAUUCAGUACAUUCAAAAGUAACAGCUAUGAAGGGAACCCAUUUCUUUGUGGACCUCAAGUGGAAAGAAAAUGCAAUGAUCAUAAUGUUGAAUCACCUUCAUCACAAAUGGAGAAACACAUGAAGUCAAGGGGAAAUGGUAUGAAAUAGAUCAUGGAGUUUUCUUAGUAAGUUUUUCAAUAACUUUUAUCAUAUUCUUUUUGGCAGUCAUCACCUUUCUUCAUAUUCUUCCUCAUUGGCAACAAAGCUUGAUUUAUCACAGUAGAGAAUAUAUGUUUUCAUGUUAUUACUUUUCAUAUGAUAUUUUACUAAAGUCAUUUACUCGUUUUGUGUCGUUAAUUGAUGUCAUCAGUUCUUAAAUCUUCUAGAGCUGAUUUAUAGUG